AUGUUCCAUCAGACAACUUGGAACCCAGAGAACAGGGAUUAUGCUGUGUUCAGCCCACCUAUUGUCACUGCAUGCUGCAGCCAAGAUGAGAAGGAAUCGGUCCCAUGGAAGGAAUUUCAUGUCUCUCUAGCAGUUCGGCAAGACAAGCUUGAGAAGGAAGCCACAUCAAAACGGGAGGCUCCUGCCACCAUGAGCCUCAUGGAUGUUCUGAGUCUGGCCUGAUUAGGAGGAAGAGUCAAGCAUGAUCACAGACAAAACUGAUGGGGAUGGAAGUAUCUGGGUGAGGAGGGUAGCCUGGAAUGGAGGCAGGCAAACAAGAAAAGAAAGCGGGAGAGAGACCAGUUGGAGAGACUGUAUACCUGCAUCAGACCCUCCUAAAGUCCCCACAGUACAGAAGAUCAAGAUGAGUGCAACUGUCUGCUCCCCGAAGGAGAGGGGUUUCUGAAGAGGAAGUGGGCAGAGAUACAUGGCAAUGGAUUACCUGGAAGCAAGAGGAGAACAACCUGAAAAAGAACAUUUUCUAUGCUCCUUAUAUUGAAGGAUCUUGCUGAAUAAAUGGUUGGUAAGUAGAGAAGGAAUUACAAUGUAAUAGUUAGCCAGCCAAUUUCUGCUUAUUUAAUUAAGUAUGCUUUUCCCAUUCCUGGCAAAUUCUUUUGAUUGACAUACAUAUUCCCCUUCUUCUUUUAUAUAGAUGCUUCUAUGUCCAUUCACACUGUUCCUCAAGACCAACAGGGAAAAUACUUCCCAAAGCAAUGUUCUGGGACAAGUAAAGCUAUCAAACAUCAAACAAAAUUACAUCAUUUUUUUUUCCUUCUUUAAUCAUCUCUUACCUUCUGCCUCUUCAGGGAAACAGUUCAUCUUUAUUUCCAUUGUGUGAUAAAGCAUUUUCUAACCAAAUCAGCAAAAAACUCCAUUCAAAGUCGACAACCAGAUUUUUAGACAUAAAACACACACCAGUUCUGUCUGGCACAAAGU
RNAcentral lists this long non-coding RNA (975 nucleotides) under Cervus hanglu yarkandensis (Yarkand deer). RNAcentral describes it as "lncRNA (ENSCHYG00000018285.1)". The record is from RNAcentral. Lineage: Eukaryota; Metazoa; Chordata; Mammalia; Artiodactyla; Cervidae.